UGCAAGUCGAGCGCCCCGCAAGGGGAGCGGCAGACGGGUGAGUAACGCGUGGGAAUCUACCCUUUUCUACGGAAUAACGCAGGGAAACUUGUGCUAAUACCGUAUGUGUCCUUCGGGAGAAAGAUUUAUCGGGAAAGGAUGAGCCCGCGUUGGAUUAGCUAGUUGGUGGGGUAAAGGCCUACCAAGGCGACGAUCCAUAGCUGGUCUGAGAGGAUGAUCAACCACAUUGGGACUGAGACACGGCCCAAACUCCUACGGGAGGCAGCAGUGGGGAAUAUUGGACAAUGGGCGCAAGCCUGAUCCAGCCAUGCCGCGUGAGUGAUGAAGGCCCUAGGGUUGUAAAGCUCUUUCACCGGAGAAGAUAAUGACGGUAUCCGGAGAAGAAGCCCCGGCUAACUUCGUGCCAGCAGCCGCGGUAAUACGAAGGGGGCUAGCGUUGUUCGGAAUUACUGGGCGUAAAGCGCACGUAGGCGGAUAUUUAAGUCAGGGGUGAAAUCCCAGAGCUCAACUCUGGAACUGCCUUUGAUACUGGGUAUCUUGAGUAUGGAAGAGGUAAGUGGAAUUCCGAGUGUAGAGGUGAAAUUCGUAGAUAUUCGGAGGAACACCAGUGGCGAAGGCGGCUUACUGGUCCAUUACUGACGCUGAGGUGCGAAAGCGUGGGGAGCRAACAGGAUUAGAUACCCUGGUAGUCCACGCCGUAAACGAUGMWWRYUMGYYKUYGGGCAGUWUWCKGAUUCRGWGRCKMAGCKAAMGYGAUAAGUUAGCCACCUGGGGA
This 775-nucleotide ribosomal RNA is filed under the name uncultured bacterium. Its description in RNAcentral is "partial 16S ribosomal RNA". It matches the Rfam family "Bacterial small subunit ribosomal RNA", at positions 56 to 879 of the family's 1533-position model. The record is from RNAcentral.